UACGAAGGGGGCUAGCGUUGCUCGGAAUUACUGGGCGUAAAUGUCGCGUAGGCGGCCCUCUAAGUCAGACGUGAAAUCCCCCGGCUUAACCUGGGAACUGCGUCUGAUACUGGGGGGCUAGAGUAUGGGAGAGGGAUGUAGAAUUCCAGGUGUAGCGGUGAAAUGCGUAGAUAUCUGGAGGAAUACCGGUGGCGAAGGCGGCAUCCUGGACCAACACUGACGCUGAGGCGCGAAAGCUAGGGGAGCAAACGGG
Molecule: ribosomal RNA, 253 nt
Filed under: uncultured bacterium
Lineage: Bacteria
Description: partial 16S ribosomal RNA
Rfam family: Bacterial small subunit ribosomal RNA
Source: RNAcentral